GAUGAACGCUAGCUGCAGGCUUAACACAUGCAAGUCGAGGGACCGGCGCACGGGUGAGUAACACGUAUCCAACCUGCCCUUUACUCGGGGAUAGCCUUUCGACAGAAAGAUUAAUACCCGAUAUAAAGGUUGGGGAUGCGUUCCAUUAGGUUGUUGGUGAGGUAACGGCUCGCCAAGCCUUCGAUGGAUAGGGGUUCUGAGAGGAAGGGCCCCUACAUUGGAACCGAGACACGGACCAAUCUCGUACGCGAGAGAGCAGUGAGGAAUAUUGGUCAAUGGGCGCUAGCCUGAACCAGCCAAGUAGCGGGAAGGAUGAAGGGUUAUGGGUCGUAAACUGCUUGUAUAUAAGAAUAUGUAUUAUAUGAAUAAGGAUCGGCUAACUACGUGCCAGCAGCCGCGGUAAUAC
This 406-nucleotide ribosomal RNA is filed under the name uncultured bacterium. RNAcentral describes it as "partial 16S ribosomal RNA". It matches the Rfam family "Bacterial small subunit ribosomal RNA", at positions 28 to 526 of the family's 1533-position model. The record is from RNAcentral.